CAUUCUGACAGUUUACGUUAGAUCAAUUUAUACGAAAUGAAUAUCUUGGCAAGUUUGAUACUUUUAGGACUAUCAGCUUUGUCACGGGAAAGCUGAGUAUACUGAAAAACAACUAGAGAUAUUGUCUGAUAUUGCUAAAAAAUGUGCUUUGGAAUUGGCUAUGGAAUUGAAUAGUGAUGUAAUAGAUACGUUUAAUUACAGUGGAAAUCUUACUGAUGAUGAGGAUUCGAAGAGAUAUGUGGCAUGUGCCCUAACAACGAUGGGUGCCAUAGACACUGAGGGUAAGAAUCAGGGUCGAAAGUUUAUCGACGAUUUUUCAGAAGGCCACGACAUUGAGGUUUUGACAAAGAUCGUUCAAAAAUGCUCCAUGGUUGACGGAGACACCAUCGAAGAUAGAGGAUACAACUUCUACAAGUGCUUCUGGACUGAAAAUUUAUUUGGAAAAUAAUGAAGAGACGAAAUUAAAUAUUCGAGAUUUGAAACAAAGAUGCCGGGAGUGUUUUCGAGAAAAAAUAAAACCGGAGUAAAAUUAAAAGAACAGAAAUAUUUUUUUUGUUUUUUGUUUUAGUGAUUAUCAAUUACAAUUUGAAAAAAAACGCAUCAUCAAUUUAUCAUGCAAAAUUUGUAUUUGAAAUAAGAUAGUAAAAACAAGAUUUUGUUCUAAUUCCAUUGUGGCCUUUCAGCCUUUCUCAUACAGAAAGACUACACAAUCACUGUGAAAACCGACCAUUGAACCGAGACCCGGAGGGCCAAAUAUACUAUUCGACUCAGCUCGACGAACUGAGUAAAUGUC
This is an RNA transcript of Malaya genurostris, 793 nucleotides long. RefSeq lists it as uncharacterized. The transcript has 3 exons. The record is from RefSeq and is a predicted model, not a curated record. NCBI's taxonomy places the organism in Eukaryota, Metazoa, Arthropoda, Insecta, Diptera, Culicidae.